Otolemur garnettii (small-eared galago) is the source of this 114-nucleotide ribosomal RNA. NCBI's taxonomy places the organism in Eukaryota, Metazoa, Chordata, Mammalia, Primates, Galagidae. The record is from Ensembl.
GUCCACAGCCAUACCACCCUGAAUGCACCCGAUCUCGUCUGUUCUCAGAAGCUAAGCAGGAUCGGGCCUGGUUAGAACUUGGAUGGGAAAAAUGUUGAGAGGGCAUUGCUCUCA